AUUGAACGCUGGCGGCAUGCUUUACACAUGCAAGUCGAACGGUAACAGGCCUUCGUUUGCUGACGAGUGGCUAACGGGUGUGUAAUUCAUCUUAACGUGCCCAGAGGUUGGGGAUAACGCAUCGAAAGCUGUGCUAAUACCCCAUGUGAUCUGAUGAUGAAAUCUGUUGACCAGGCAGCAAUGUUUGGCCUCUCGCCUUUUUAUCGGCCGAUGUCAGAUGAGGUAGUUGGUUGGGUAAAGUCCUACCAAGCCGACGAUCUGUAGCUGGUCUGAGAGGACGAGCAGCGAAACGGGGAGUGAGACACGGACCAGAGUCCUACGGGAGGCAGCAGUGGGGAAUAUUGGACAAUGGGCGCAAGCAUGAUACAGCAAUGCCGCGUACGGGAAGAAGGACUUAGGGUUGUAAACAGCUUUUGUAAGGAACGAAAAGGAUCUGGAUAAUACCUGGGGCUGAUGACGGUAACGUAAGAAUAAGCACCGGCUAACUACGUG
RNAcentral lists this ribosomal RNA (492 nucleotides) under uncultured bacterium. RNAcentral's name for it is "partial 16S ribosomal RNA". It matches the Rfam family "Bacterial small subunit ribosomal RNA", at positions 30 to 507 of the family's 1533-position model. The record is from RNAcentral.